RNAcentral lists this ribosomal RNA (1369 nucleotides) under Klebsiella pneumoniae. RNAcentral describes it as "bacterial SSU rRNA". It matches the Rfam family "Bacterial small subunit ribosomal RNA", at positions 56 to 1418 of the family's 1533-position model. Lineage: Bacteria; Pseudomonadati; Pseudomonadota; Gammaproteobacteria; Enterobacterales; Enterobacteriaceae. The record is from RNAcentral.
UGCAGUCGAGCGGUAGCACAGAGAGCUUGCUCUCGGGUGACGAGCGGCGGACGGGUGAGUAAUGUCUGGGAAACUGCCUGAUGGAGGGGGAUAACUACUGGAAACGGUAGCUAAUACCGCAUAACGUCGCAAGACCAAAGUGGGGGACCUUCGGGCCUCAUGCCAUCAGAUGUGCCCAGAUGGGAUUAGCUAGUAGGUGGGGUAACGGCUCACCUAGGCGACGAUCCCUAGCUGGUCUGAGAGGAUGACCAGCCACACUGGAACUGAGACACGGUCCAGACUCCUACGGGAGGCAGCAGUGGGGAAUAUUGCACAAUGGGCGCAAGCCUGAUGCAGCCAUGCCGCGUGUGUGAAGAAGGCCUUCGGGUUGUAAAGCACUUUCAGCGGGGAGGAAGGCGUUAAGGUUAAUAACCUUGUCGAUUGACGUUACCCGCAGAAGAAGCACCGGCUAACUCCGUGCCAGCAGCCGCGGUAAUACGGAGGGUGCAAGCGUUAAUCGGAAUUACUGGGCGUAAAGCGCACGCAGGCGGUCUGUCAAGUCGGAUGUGAAAUCCCCGGGCUCAACCUGGGAACUGCAUUCGAAACUGGCAGGCUAGAGUCUUGUAGAGGGGGGUAGAAUUCCAGGUGUAGCGGUGAAAUGCGUAGAGAUCUGGAGGAAUACCGGUGGCGAAGGCGGCCCCCUGGACAAAGACUGACGCUCAGGUGCGAAAGCGUGGGGAGCAAACAGGAUUAGAUACCCUGGUAGUCCACGCCGUAAACGAUGUCGAUUUGGAGGUUGUGCCCUUGAGGCGUGGCUUCCGGAGCUAACGCGUUAAAUCGACCGCCUGGGGAGUACGGCCGCAAGGUUAAAACUCAAAUGAAUUGACGGGGGCCCGCACAAGCGGUGGAGCAUGUGGUUUAAUUUGAUGCAACGCGAAGAACCUUACCUGGUCUUGACAUCCACAGAACUUUCCAGAGAUGGAUUGGUGCCUUCGGGAACUGUGAGACAGGUGCUGCAUGGCUGUCGUCAGCUCGUGUUGUGAAAUGUUGGGUUAAGUCCCGCAACGAGCGCAACCCUUAUCCUUUGUUGCCAGCGGUCCGGCCGGGAACUCAAAGGAGACUGCCAGUGAUAAACUGGAGGAAGGUGGGGAUGACGUCAAGUCAUCAUGGCCCUUACGACCAGGGCUACACACGUGCUACAAUGGCAUAUACAAAGAGAAGCGACCUCGCGAGAGCAAGCGGACCUCAUAAAGUAUGUCGUAGUCCGGAUUGGAGUCUGCAACUCGACUCCAUGAAGUCGGAAUCGCUAGUAAUCGUAGAUCAGAAUGCUACGGUGAAUACGUUCCCGGGCCUUGUACACACCGCCCGUCACACCAUGGGAGUGGGUUGC